AAGAAUUCUAAGAAUGGGAAGUUUUCCUAAAGGUUAUGCAACCUUUCGAGGAUAAAUACAGACAUCUCCGUACCGAUCUGUGAAACUCUACUAAACUUGCUCAAGACUCGCGAGACCUAGUAACCUAGGGUUUGAUACCAACUUGUCACGAUCCAAUUUUGAAACCCGGUCAUGAUGGCACCUCUCGUGAACACAAGGCUAGCUAACUAACCUAAAUCAUCUCUUUAAUAAUUAUUAAACAUAAAUGAAUAGAUAGAUACAACUUAACGACAAUAAUAACCAGUAUUUACAACCCAACACAACCCGACCGAGGUGUCACAAGUCAUGAGCAUCUAAAGAAGCAUGAACACAACUACAAGGCCAAUAAUAUACUAAAAAUAAAUACUAGAAUUCUAAAGACAACAUCAAAUUCCGCAAACGCUGGCGGUCACCUUGCCCAGCUACAAUAAUAAUAUCUUCAUCAGCUAAUAACCCGCUACCGGGUGAACAAUACCUGCAACUGCACGUGAGGUGCAUGGAGUAAAGUGAGUACUCCAACCAGUGAGUAAUAAGAGCAAAUAAUAACUGAGCGAUAAGGAAACACGUAAAACACUCCAUCAUGCUAUAUAGGUCAGUGCAAAUCUUUGAGAAAAACAGUAAAACCGUGAAAAAUCCUUUAGAAAAUAUCUAGCUCAAUCAAAAACCUCUUUUGAAAAUAUCCUUUUCCCAACAGUCAAGCAAAUGAAUGUAUAAUCAGAUAGUGCAAGUCCGCACAUAAGUCAGCCCCUCGAGCACAACACUCCAUUAACAAAUAACACCAGGGUAUCUGGUAAUAGUGCAAUAAAUAGCAUGGAUACCAAUGAUAUGAGAGUGCUGAAUGCUAUGCCACAUAGUACAAACAGUAACCCAUGCAUGAAUGCAAUGCAAUACACAUGACCGUUGCGGCGUGCAGCCCGAUCCAUUUGGGUACCCGUGCUCACUGUGGGGGUGGGUUCAGACUCUGGAGGGGCUCCUACAAGCCAAGCACAAUAUCAAUAUCACACCGCUUCGACGUGCAGCCUGAUACAUCCUCAGUCCAGAAUAUGCAUGAGAGCCACUAGGGCUAUGUCAAGUAAUAGUUCUUGCUCAAAACAUAAAAAAAUGUAGUUUAAGUUUUUCAUACCUUAGAAGUAUGACUUGAUAUUUCAAAACAGUGUUUAACUCAGGACUGGAAUUAUUUAACAUGCUAAAUAUCAUGUAAAUAGUGAUAAUAAUCCACAAAGUAUUCAAAUAAUCGGCACGAAGCCCAAAACAUGGCAAUCAGCCCAAAUCAUGAUUAUAACAGGUAGUUUCAGUCAAAUACGUAGUAAUUUGAUCAAUCGGGACGGACCAAGUCACAAUUCCAACAGUGCUCUACCCCACGCUCACUAUCCGGCAUGAAAGUCACCUCAAUACAACACUAUGAUGUGCAAAUCCGAGGUUUCAAACACUCAGGAUAUCAUUUACAAGUAUUACUCACCUCGAAUCGGCAAAAUCUCUAGUCCAUGAUGCCUUUGGCCUUCAAAACGACCUCCACGCGCCCCGAAUCUAACCAAAAUUAGAGCAAAUACCUCAAAAUAUGCCAAGGGAACAAUACCCAAUCAAAAACAAUUAAAAUAUAGCAAAAAUCUCGAAACUAGCAAUACCCGAGCUUCGGGCCCACUUCUUGAAAUAUUACAAAACUCAUAUCACUGGAUUCCUCAUCUUGCCACGAGUCCGUACAUAUCAAAUUUACCAAAAUCGAAGUCCAAAUGCUCCCUCAAAUCCCAUUUUAAAUUCUCAAAAUCCCAAGCCUUGAUUCGUCAAUUUUUGGUUUAAUUUCAUGAAUUUCUAGGUAGAUUUCACAAUAAAACAGUAUUUAGGUUCAAACAUUAUACCCCCAAUUGAUUCUCCUUGAAUCCCUUGUCAAAUCGCUCUCCCAAGCUCCAAAAUCGCUCAACAAUGGAGGAAAAAUGACAUAAGCUCGCGGAUGAAAUAUUAAGUAAUCAGCCCAGAUUUUUUGCUUAUGAGGUCUCCCCCACUUUUUCGGGACCGUUUCAGCUCCCUUCGUUUCCGCUUUUGCAAAAAUCCAACCCUCGAACCAAAUCGCUUCUGCAGUCACAACAUCGCGAUAGCGAUUCCGCUUCUGCGGCUACACUAGCGCUACUGCGACCAGGCGCCCAGGCCUCCUUACCGCUUCAGCGAUUGAUCCCUUGCUUAAACGGGUCCGCUUCUACAGUCUAAGACUCCCAGAAGCGAGAAUAUCAGAUAUCAGCAACAUCUGCCACCCUCUUAAAUAAUCAGCCCAACAUUUUCGCUUAUGCGGUCCCCACCCCGCUUAUGGGGGACCUCUUAAGCGCCCUUCCUUUUCGCUUUUGCAGAAAUCCAACCCUCGAACCAAACCGCUUUUGCGAUCACAACAUUGCGGAAUCGAUUUCGCUUUUGCGGCUACUCUAGCGCUUCUGCGAAAUCAGGCAGCCAAGCCUCCUCAUCACUUCUGCGGUCGAUCCCUCGCUUAAGCGGGUCCUUUUCUGCGGUCCAAGACUCGCAGAAGCAAGAAUAUCAUAUAUCAACAACAACACACCUGAAGAAAACUUCAAAAACUCUCGUUUAACCACUCGAAUUCAACCCGAGGCCCCCGAGACACCAACCAAAAGCACUGACAUGUUCUAUUACCUAAUUCAAACUUGCUCCAACCAUCAAAACACUAUCGUUAACAUCAAAAUCCUCAAAUUUCAUCAAAUCAAAGUCUAUGUUUCUUAAAAACCUCCGAAUAAGGUAAUUUUACAAGCAUGCAGUUUCCUUGAUCUAUGCGCCAUUGCAACCCCAUAUUUAGAGACAUAGAUUCAGGUGCAUUAUUAUUCUAGGUACCAAAAGAUGUUGCAAAUGCACCCACCAUUUCUCCAGUGUGCCUUCUAAUGACCCCUCCACCACUAAUACCAGGAUUACCUCUAGAAUAUCCAUAAGUAUUUAAUUUAAUGGUCCCUUCUAGAGGAAAUUUCCAUGAGACUUUGAUAAUAUUCAACAGUGGUCUAGCUUCCAUAGUCAUCUGAGUCAAUUGCGCCCACGGAAUUGCUAAGUCAACCUGCCUAAAAUGCUUAUGGAUAAUCAGUGUAACAUCAUGGCAAAUUUGAUGUACAAUUUUAGAAAUAAAGAACUUUUGUUUAUCAUAUUUGCUCUUAUUUCUCGCUUUCUAAAUGUUUCAACUGAUGACCAAAAGGGUUGCUUGAAGAGGGAGUUUAUGGAUGGGGUUCUGGUAUUCAUAAAGCCACCAAACCAUCAUAUGUUGCCUAAUAUCACCAUCAUAGUCCUAAUCCCAAAUUGCUCUCUGAAGCAUUUCCAGACUGCUUUGCUGAUGUUGCGAUAUCAAUGAAAAUAUGCCCAUCUUCAUUCAUUGGUUUUGUACAACAUGCACAUUUUGAUGGAAAAGAAAUUUCCAUUUUCUUGAUAUUAUCAUCUGUCGGUAUUUUGUCUCUCAAAAGUUUUUAACCAAAAAAAGAUAUUUUGAAAGGAAUAGCGUUAUGAGAUAAGAACUUAUUCACAAAAGAAUUUCCUUGUCUUUGUCUCAAGCUAUUCCAGGCUGAGGAACAACUGAACUGACCAUUAGUUGAGUCGGUCCAUAUUGCUUAGUCUUGUACAUUCUAGUUACCUAUUUUUAUACCUCUAAAUGUGUUCAAAAAAGUAGCUUGGAACAGCUUGAGACAAUAUAGGAAUAUUCCAGGAAUUUAACAAUAAAGUUACAUACCUUAUCCUUGUUAUAAAUGGAGCAGUUGUAAAAGUUGUAUAAACGGCCCAAACCUGUCCAGUUGUCCCAGUAGAAAGAAGAAUUUCCUCCUUGGAUCCUCCAUGUUUAUGCAGUUCUACUUUUUCGUUUUAUCUCCAUUAAGCUUCUUCAUGAGCCGGAUUGCUUUGAGUUUCCUUUCCUAGUGUGACAAUCCGGCUGGUUGUUUUUGGAAUUUAUGUCUCGUUUCCCCAUUAACUGCUUCCUCUAAGUUCAUUUAUGCUAUUUUUUUUGCCGGGACGUUCGGUAUUAGGAUCCGGAGUGUUUUGGGACACUUCGUCCCUAAAUGAGAGCUUAAAUAUUGAAAAGUGGUCUUUAAUUGGAACAAUGUGAAGACAACCUCGGAAUGAAAAUCCGAUGGUUCCGUUAGCUCCGUUAGGUGAUUCGGGGUUGGGAGCGUGUUCGGAAUGUAUUUUGGAUGCCCGUAGCUUAUUUAGGCUAGAAAUGCCGAAAGUUAGAAUUUGGAGGUUUCCUGUCUGAUAGUAAAUUUUUGAUUCGAGGGUCGGAAUGGGAUUCCGAAAAUUGCUGUAGCACUGUCAUGUCAUUUGGGAUGUGCUUGCGAUGUUUCAUGUCAAUCGUACGAGUGUUUGUUAGGUUUUGGAUCGAAAGCGUGUUUUGGAUGAACUUGAAGUUCUUAGGCUUGAAUCUUUGAUUUAAUCGGGUUUCUGGUGUUGUUUUAGAUGUUUUAGGAUUGGUACAAGCUCGAAUAAGGCGUUAGAUGGUAUUGGUGUUUUUGGUUGGCGUUCCGGAGGCCUCGGGUGUGUUUCGGAUGCUCAACGGGCAUGUUUUGGGAAUUGGAAGAAAAAUUCGCAGCAGGCUCCUGUCAUUUUCGCUUAUGCGGCGGGGGGGGGGGGGGGGGGACUUGGGCAGAUACCGCAGAAGCGGUAUGGUAUCCGCAUAGGAAAAACCGCAUAAGCGGUUCCUGGACCGCAGAUGCGGAAGUCCGGGUUUAACGAGGAGUCACAAAUGCGGCUCGUGGUUCACAUAUGCAGGACCGCCGAAGAAGUCCCUGGACUGCAAAAGCGAAAACCACUUUUCUGAUAAGGGUUUAUCCGAGGCCUUAUUUCAAUAGUUGGAAAAUUCAAUUUGAAGCUCGGUUAAAGGCGAUUUUGAGAGGAUUUCGAAGAGGAGAUUACUGGGUAACAUUUAUAUGAUCCUUUCUAGUUAUAUUCCAUCAUUUAGUACUUAAAUCCAUCUUUUAAAUUCAAAUUAAGGAUAAAAAAUGGGAGAAGUUGGGUGAAAGUUCAUUGGUUAAAUUGUUGAGUUUUGAGGGGGCAAUUGACCUCCGAAUUGGGAGAUAUUGGUAUGGUUAGACUCGUGAGAGUACGAGGUUUCUGAAAAUAUUCAAAUUAUUCGGUUCAAACUUACAUUUUCAUAGUAUAAAAAUAUUACUACCAUUUUCAAUAACAAGCAUUGAGAGUAGCAAUAACAAGCAUAUUCUGCCCAAACUAAAAAUGGAAUACCAACAUGCAAUAAAUCUCUCAACAAGAAGCUUUUAACUUACCCAAACUAAGAUUUCUGUCAAAACUGAAAAUCAGCAACAACAACACCAAAUGCUCUCAAAUCAGUCUUUCUGUGCGGAUUUUUUUGUAUUCCUGUAGAUUAUCAAAUGGUUUAGAGAAAUUCGAGAUGAAAUCUAAGAAUACAAAUGUAAAAUUACUGAAAUAACAAUAAACCCCAACUGCAUGUUGAAAAUUUUGCCUUAAAGAAUCCUUAUAAAAAAAUUCAAACAUAAAUUUAUAUAUAAACUAGUGUGGGUAUAAACAAAAAAGAAAGAAUUAGGGUCACUAGCAGCUAUAUGAGAGAAAUAAGUUGUGCAAUUCUUCCACCCCAAUAUCGUUUUGGAUUUGACUAGCAGCUAUGAGAUUUUUGUUUCAACAAGAAAAAGGAAAAGAUUAGGAAUUUGAACACAUACCUGAUAAAUGAGAUUCACAUUUUUAUUAGAGAGAUUAAGAGUUGGGUCAUGAAAUUUUGGUAAAGAAAGUGAUUUUAGAG
RNAcentral lists this long non-coding RNA (5752 nucleotides) under Nicotiana benthamiana. RNAcentral describes it as "long non-coding RNA (NBEN_LNC038181)". The record is from RNAcentral. Lineage: Eukaryota; Viridiplantae; Streptophyta; Magnoliopsida; Solanales; Solanaceae.